RNAcentral lists this transfer RNA (90 nucleotides) under Pseudomonadota bacterium. RNAcentral's name for it is "tRNA-Ser". It matches the Rfam family "tRNA". Rfam says of the family: Transfer RNA (tRNA) molecules are approximately 80 nucleotides in length. Their secondary structure includes four short double-helical elements and three loops (D, anti-codon, and T loops). RNAcentral also lists the same sequence under 1 other name. The record is from RNAcentral. Lineage: Bacteria; Pseudomonadati; Pseudomonadota.
GGAGAGGUGGCAGAGCGGUUGAUUGCACCGGUCUUGAAAACCGGCGUCCCUUCACGGGGACCGUGGGUUCGAAUCCCACCCUCUCCGCCA